AAACUUGAAAGGGCCUUGGGCCGUGGAAGGGAUGGAGGGACUGAGAAUUGGAGAAUCCGGAUGGAUGGAUGAAUAGGAGAUGGGAGGACAGGGUGCCGUAGAAACUGCACUGGUGUAAGAAUCAGAAGGAGCUAUAAUUCCUUCAACGAGUAGAGAAAAGCCGAGGGAACAAGUGCAAAGAUCCUGAGGUGAGAACCAGCUUGCCAUUUUCAGGGAAUAGACUGAAGGCCCCAGGCUAGAAUAGAGUGAAUGAGAACGUGGUAGGAGGUGAGGUCGUGAUGGGCAAGGGCAAGGGCAAGGCUGUCACCCUGGGUAACAUGGAUCUUGAGAGGCUUUAACAACGUCACAGCUAAGCUUUUGAGCUCUGGAGCCAGUUGAGCUGGGUUCGAAUCCCAGCUAUGCCCAGCUAUGGGGUCUUGGGUAGACCAGUUAACCUUUCUGGCCUUAGUUUCCUCAUUUGGAAGAUGGAGAUACUUGUUGGUAUACCUCCCUUGUAGUGUUUUUCUGAGGAUUAAGUGAGCUUGCCGUAGUAAAGAGCUCUAGAACUGUGCCUGUUAUGUGGUAAGCACUGUAUAUGAAUUGUCUGUUGUUACUGUUGCUCUGUUUCUGCCUGUCUGUUUGUCCCCUUGUAACUGUGAUGGUCUCUUGGUUUCCAUCUUUUGCCCUGUAUCAUUCUCUCCAUAUGGGUUUCCCUGAUUUUGGCUCCAUCUGCUCAGACUUCCUCUUCAAAUUCCUGGUGAUUGGCAGUGCAGGAACUGGCAAAUCAUGUCUCCUUCAUCAGUUCAUUGAGAAUAAGUUCAAACAGGACUCCAACCACACAAUCGGCGUGGAGUUUGGAUCUCGGGUAGUCAACGUGGGUGGGAAGACUGUGAAGCUCCAGAUUUGGGACACAGCCGGCCAAGAGCGGUUUCGGUCGGUGACACGGAGUUACUACCGAGGGGCGGCUGGAGCCCUGCUGGUGUACGACAUCACCAGCCGGGAGACAUACAACUCGUUGGCUGCCUGGCUGACGGACGCCCGCACGCUGGCUAGCCCCAACAUCGUGGUCAUCCUCUGUGGCAACAAGAAAGACCUGGACCCUGAGCGUGAGGUCACUUUCCUGGAGGCCUCCCGCUUUGCCCAGGAGAAUGAGCUAAUGUUCCUGGAGACUAGUGCCCUCACGGGUGAGAACGUGGAAGAGGCUUUCCUGAAGUGUGCCCGCACCAUCCUGAACAAGAUCGACUCAGGUGAGCUGGACCCCGAGAGGAUGGGCUCAGGCAUUCAGUACGGGGAUGCUUCCCUCCGCCAGCUGCGGCAGCCUCGGAGUGCCCAGGCCGUGGCCCCUCAGCCCUGUGGCUGCUGAGACAUGUGGAGCCAGGUGGGAGCCCAGUGGCCAGGGCCCACCAAACUGAUUUCCCAACCCACUAAUGCAGUGCUGCACACUGAAAUCACCUGGAGAGCUUUAAAAGAGUCUGAUGCCUGGGCCUCACCCCAGAGAUUCUGAAGGGAUUUCCGGAUUUCUAGAAGCUCCCAGCUCACCUGUUCUCCAGGACCAGCCCUGCCCUUCUGGCCGGGGCCCAGACCCAGGCCCUGGGAGGCCGAGCCCCUCACCUGUCCUGGCCCCAGAGAAGCUGCCCCGCCACCUGUUCCCCUUCCCUGGCCUGGUGGGGCCUGGCUGAGGGGCAAGACUGAGCCACGGGGGAAGGGGGAAUCCGUACCUGCUGCUGCUUCCUCUGUCUUGGCUAACCCCUGUCCCCCCGGAACCCCUAACCAUACUCGAAGAGUUCCCAAAGCCUGAGACCUGGGCAUUUGGCCCCAGCUCCCCGCCAUUGCGAGUACGUGUUAUUUAUUGCCUGGAGGCCUGUCCAGUCCCCACUCCACCCCCAUAAAGCAUUGUUUACACCUG
Molecule: RNA transcript, 1885 nt
Organism: Nyctereutes procyonoides (raccoon dog)
Lineage: Eukaryota; Metazoa; Chordata; Mammalia; Carnivora; Canidae
Gene: RAB4B
Gene name: RAB4B, member RAS oncogene family
Exons: 8
Source: RefSeq, a predicted model, not a curated record